Molecule: ribosomal RNA, 274 nt
Filed under: uncultured bacterium
Lineage: Bacteria
Description: partial 16S ribosomal RNA
Rfam family: Bacterial small subunit ribosomal RNA
Source: RNAcentral
AUACGGAGGGUGCAAACGUUGCUGGGAAUCAUUGGGCGUAAAGCGCACGUAGGCGGUUCGGUAAGUCGGAUGUGAAAGCCCUAGGCUUAACCAAGGAAGUGCAUUCGAAACUGCCAAACUUGAGUAUGGGAGAGGGUUGCGGAAUUCUCGGUGAAGAGGUGAAAUUCGUAGAUAUCGGGAGGAACACCAGUGGCGAAGGCGGCAACCUGGCUCGAUACUGACGCUGAGGUGCGAAAGCGUGGGGAGCAAACAGGAUUAGAUACCCCAGUAGUCC